CAAUAGCGUAUAUUAAUGUUGUUGCAGUUAAAAAGCUCGUAGUUGGAUUUCUGGUGGGAGUGGCCGGUCCGCCGUAAGGUGUGUACUUGGUUGUCUCCCGUCAUCCUUGUGGGAACUGCUCUGGCAUUAAGUUGUCGGGGUUAGGGAACACAUCGUUUACUGUGAAAAAUUAGAGUGUUUAAAGCAGGCUUAUGCCGUUGAAUACAUUAGCAUGGAAUAAUAAGAUAGGACUUUGGCGUCUAUUUUGUUGGUUUGCACACCAAGGUAAUGAUUAAUAGGGAUAGUUGGGGGUAUUCGUAUUUAAUUGUCAGAGGUGAAAUUCUUGGAUUUAUGAAAGACGAACUUCUGCGAAAGCAUUUACCAAAGAUGUUUUCAUUAAUCAAGAACGAAAGUUAGGGGAUCGAAGACGAUUAGAUACCAU
This 421-nucleotide ribosomal RNA is filed under the name uncultured eukaryote. RNAcentral describes it as "SSU rRNA". It matches the Rfam family "Eukaryotic small subunit ribosomal RNA", at positions 592 to 1018 of the family's 1831-position model. The record is from RNAcentral.